Long non-coding RNA from Nicotiana tabacum (common tobacco), 880 nucleotides. RefSeq lists it as uncharacterized. Lineage: Eukaryota; Viridiplantae; Streptophyta; Magnoliopsida; Solanales; Solanaceae. The record is from RefSeq and is a predicted model, not a curated record.
GAACCCUAAAAAAGACGUACUUCUCCAAAACAAGAAGAAGUCGUCCUAUCCUCUCUAAAAUAUGCUGCAACAAACCAGCCCCUCCUCCCUCACUCUCUCGCCAUCAGACGCACACCCCACCAAACCGACACCUCGACCACCCCAUUUUCCAAACCUUCAGCCACCAGCCGCCGUCGACCUCGCCUGAACCAAAGCAAAAAUAGAAAAACUGAGUUGGGCAACGGGGAAGGGAAAUGAAAGAAACAGAUAACAAGAGAAUAGAGGGGAACGACAAAAUAGGGGAAAGGGAUUUGUGAUCGUUGUCUUUGGAUAGAUACACACACACACACAAAAGAAUACCCAGAUACACACACACACACGAACAGUAGAGAGGAAAUAGAACAGCCGCAAACCAUGACAAAUAGUUCAUUUCCACCAUUGUUCAAGCUCAAUCGAAGUUCAGAAAAUCCGUUCGAGUUAGAAGGUUUUCGGCCGAGGUCCUAUUCGCGUUUCCGAUUCCGAUGUUGUUGUCGAAUUUCAGUUUCCCUAACUGAACGGUCAUUUUGGUUUGGGUUUCUCUUUGUUAAUACAUUGAAGAUGGUUUUCUACCUGUGAAGGAUCUGAGGCUGGUCCAUCUAGUUACCCACCCGGCGCGCAUUCUUGAUAUUAGUUCGAGACUUCACGGUGAGCUGCCCCCUUUUCCAAGCUGUCCAGUAGCAUCGUCGGAGUUUCUCUUUUGUUGUAUCUGUCUAUACUAUCUCAGACAGUAGGAUAGUUAUAUUUUUGUACAUUCUACUAGACGCCCUCGGACUUGUGACACUAGAUCCUUUCACAUACAUUAGUAGACUAUUAUUUUUGGGUUGUAAGAUUAUAUUCAUGAUAUCCUCUAGUGGUUCUUGCA